AACGAACGCUGGCGGCAUGCCUAACACAUGCAAGUCGAACGAGACCUUCGGGUCUAGUGGCGCACGGGUGCGUAACGCGUCGGAACCUGCCCUUAGGUUUGACAUAACUCCCCGACAGGGGUGCUAAUACCGGAUAAUGUCUUCGGACCAAAGAUUUAUCGCCUUUGGUUGGUCCCGCGUUGGAUUCGCUCGUUGGUACGGUAAAAGCCUACCAAGGCGAGGAUCCAUAGCUGGGCUGAGAGGAAGAUCAGCGACACUUGGACUGAGACACGGCCCAGACUCCUACGGGAGGCAGCAGUGGGGAAUAGUGGACAAUGGGCGAAAGCCUGAUCGAGCAAUGCCGCGUGAGUGAUGAAGGCCUGAGGGUUGUAAAGCUCUAGUACCCGGGAUGAUAAUGACAGUACCGGGAGAAUAAGCCCCGGCUAACUCCGUG
This 433-nucleotide ribosomal RNA is filed under the name uncultured bacterium. RNAcentral describes it as "partial 16S ribosomal RNA". It matches the Rfam family "Bacterial small subunit ribosomal RNA", at positions 29 to 507 of the family's 1533-position model. The record is from RNAcentral.